This 308-nucleotide long non-coding RNA is filed under the name Ricinus communis (castor bean). RNAcentral's name for it is "long non-coding RNA (RCOM_LNC002755)". Lineage: Eukaryota; Viridiplantae; Streptophyta; Magnoliopsida; Malpighiales; Euphorbiaceae. The record is from RNAcentral.
UCGUUGUAAGCAGCAGCAGCUGUAAAAUCAAUGAGCCCUGCUAUCUGUGUUCAAGCAGCAAUGGGUCUUUCCCAUAUCUGAAUUGAUUUGACCAUUACCAACUAGCCAUUUGGGUGCUAUUAGCAAUCAAUGAUCGUGUUAUGAACUAGCUAAUCUCCACAAAAUCCGGUCCAUGUCCCAGAAGGAGCCCUUCAAAAACUUAAAGAUAUGAUCAAUUAAAAGUCUUCAGUUUUCAAGAUUUUCCAGACAUUGUUUAGCAAGCAUAGCAAUAUGCUAAUAUUACAAUUCUAGAUCUGCACCAUUCCAUG